CCAAUAGCGUAUAUUAAAGUUGUUGCAGUUAAAAAGCUCGUAGUUGAAUUUUAGGCCUGACCGGGCGGUCCGUCUCUGGCGAGUACUGUUCUGUUGUCGGGUCUAUCCUUCUGGUGAGCCGGUAUGUCCUUUAUUGGGUGUGUCGGGGCACCAGGACCAUUACCUUGAAAAAAUUAGAGUGUUUAAAGCGGGCUUUUGCUUGAAUAGAUUAGCAUGGAAUAAUAGAAUAGGACGUUGGUUCUAUUUUGUUGGUCUAGGACCACCGUAAUGAUUAAUAGGGAUAGUUGGGGGCAUUAGUAUUCAAUUGUCAGAGGUGAAAUUCUUGGAUUUAUUGAAGACUAACUACUGCGAAAGCAUUUGCCAAGGAUGUUUUCAUUAAUCAAGAACGAAAGUUAGGGGAUCGAAGACGAUCAGAUACCGUCGUAGUCUUAACCAUAAACUAUGCCGACUAGGAAUCGGGCGACGUUAUUUUCAUGACUCGCUCGGCGCCUUAUG
Molecule: ribosomal RNA, 495 nt
Filed under: uncultured Glomeromycotina
Lineage: Eukaryota; Fungi; Glomeromycota
Description: partial small subunit ribosomal RNA
Rfam family: Eukaryotic small subunit ribosomal RNA
Source: RNAcentral